RNAcentral lists this ribosomal RNA (253 nucleotides) under uncultured bacterium. Its description in RNAcentral is "partial 16S ribosomal RNA". It matches the Rfam family "Bacterial small subunit ribosomal RNA", at positions 524 to 776 of the family's 1533-position model. The record is from RNAcentral.
GACAGAGGGUGCAAACGUUGUUCGGAAUUACUGGGCGUAAAGCGCGUGUAGGCGGUCUGAUAAGUCGGGUGUGAAAGCCCCGGGCUCAACCCGGGAAGUGCACUCGAAACUGACAGGCUAGAGUACUGGAGAGGUUGGUGGAAUUCUCGGUGUAGAGGUGAAAUUCGUAGAUAUCGAGAGGAACACCGGUGGCGAAGGCGGCCAACUGGACAGAUACUGACGCUGAGACUCGAAAGCGUGGGGAGCAAACAGG